AAGUCGUCGCCCUUGAGAUCGACAGAAGCUGCCCUGGCCGGUGGACCGCUGCUACGUGGAGCAUGUCGGUUGGCGAUUCAGAGUUUCGAAAGGACGGGGAGGUGAAAUCUGCUGAUAUUGCCCCCUCCAAUGCGUUGGAUCUUAGGUCUUUCUUUGUUGGCCACCCAUCUCUCAGCUCCUGCCAUGGUGAUGUUCUCUACCUCAUGGCACUGUGGCCAAGGCUAGCCUAUAUGCACUUGACCGCGAGUCGAUCGUGAUUGCUGUUGACAUGAAGAACAUGAAGAUGGGGCGAGUUGCGAAGUACACCAUGCAAAGAACAGGCUGCAUUAUCUUCGCCUACAUGCACACUACCAUCUCCAAGUAUCUCGCUCCACCACGAGAUUCAAAAGGUAACAUGAAACGACGAGGGCAGAUCUUGCUGGGAUCCUUUCACAAGAAGCCGCAUGUGAUUACUUUCAUGUCCGGGCAUGGCGACGACCAAGUGGAAGGAGCGGGUGAUCACAUGUACGAUCUGCCAUCAAUGAGCGACGAUGAGGAUAAUAUGGAAUUGGGAUAAGUCACUGCUUUUUCAUAAGCUCUGAAUAUGGUAACAAGAAAAAAAAUGGUAUUAUUGUGAUGGCACACGCACAAGGGGAAUCCUGCGCUAUUGCCCAGAUAAAGUACCCUCAUGCUGAAAAGCUAUAUGGAUCCUUCUUGUGGAAAGACUUACUUAAGCAAGUUGAUAAUUUCAGAGGAGUUUCAGUGGUUAAACCGGGUGUUGGUAAUACUUUUCAUUUUUGGGAAGAUAAGUGGGUUCUAUCUGAUGCUGUUCAUCCACUUAAGUGUUGAGAUGUCCUAGAAUAUUCUCAUUUGUUCGGAAUGUUAAUCUUUGUUCGGAAUGUUAAUCUUUUGGCUGCUCAAGUCUAUGCUCAUUCAGAGUUUCUGGAUUUA
Long non-coding RNA from Lolium rigidum, 930 nucleotides. RefSeq lists it as uncharacterized. The record is from RefSeq and is a predicted model, not a curated record. The transcript is spliced from 2 exons. Lineage: Eukaryota; Viridiplantae; Streptophyta; Magnoliopsida; Poales; Poaceae.